Pseudomonas putida W619 is the source of this 89-nucleotide non-coding RNA. NCBI's taxonomy places the organism in Bacteria, Pseudomonadati, Pseudomonadota, Gammaproteobacteria, Pseudomonadales, Pseudomonadaceae. The record is from Rfam.
CUUUAUGGCAGCUGUGCAUGGGGCACUUCGUGUGCGCCGGGUUUUGGUUUGCCUACCGGUCUGUCAACCCAUGUACAGCUGCCACCCUC